AGAGUUUGAUCAUGGCUCAGAUUGAACGCUGGCGGCAUGCUUACACAUGCAAGUCGAACGGCAGCAUGAUCUAGCUUGCUAGAUUGAUGGCGAGUGGCGAACGGGUGAGUAAUACAUCGGAACGUGCCCUGUAGUGGGGGAUAACUAGUCGAAAGAUUAGCUAAUACCGCAUACGACCUGAGGGUGAAAGUGGGGGACCGCAAGGCCUCAUGCUAUAGGAGCGGCCGAUGUCUGAUUAGCUAGUUGGUGAGGUAAAGGCUCACCAAGGCGACGAUCAGUAGCUGGUCUGAGAGGACGAUCAGCCACACUGGGACUGAGACACGGCCCAGACUCCUACGGGAGGCAGCAGUGGGGAAUUUUGGACAAUGGGCGAAAGCCUGAUCCAGCAAUGCCGCGUGUGUGAAGAAGGCCUUCGGGUUGUAAAGCACUUUUGUCCGGAAAGAAAUGGCUCUGGUUAAUACCUGGGGUCGAUGACGGUACCGGAAGAAUAAGGACCGGCUAACUACGUGCCAGCAGCCGCGGUAAUACGUAGGGUCCAAGCGUUAAUCGGAAUUACUGGGCGUAAAGCGUGCGCAGGCGGUUGUGCAAGACCGAUGUGAAAUCCCCGAGCUUAACUUGGGAAUUGCAUUGGUGACUGCACGGCUAGAGUGUGUCAGAGGGGGGUAGAAUUCCACGUGUAGCAGUGAAAUGCGUAGAGAUGUGGAGGAAUACCGAUGGCGAAGGCAGCCCCCUGGGAUAACACUGACGCUCAUGCACGAAAGCGUGGGGAGCAAACAGGAUUAGAUACCCUGGUAGUCCACGCCCUAAACGAUGUCAACUAGUUGUUGGGGAUUCAUUUCCUUAGUAACGUAGCUAACGCGUGAAGUUGACCGCCUGGGGAGUACGGUCGCAAGAUUAAAACUCAAAGGAAUUGACGG
RNAcentral lists this ribosomal RNA (917 nucleotides) under uncultured bacterium. RNAcentral describes it as "bacterial SSU rRNA". It matches the Rfam family "Bacterial small subunit ribosomal RNA", at positions 8 to 916 of the family's 1533-position model. The record is from RNAcentral.